CUUCAGCUAUGGUUCAAAUUUCGAACGCCCCACCGCCUUUUGAGUCCGUUAGGAGGAUCGUGGGCGUAAACGGUCGGUUCUUAAUCCUAGCCAUCUAUAUAUUGAUCUCUAAAAUCUGAUUCUUUAAAGAAAGUCUCUUGUUGAUCAUCGUCAGAUUUACGGAGUUUAUCUUCUGGCGUCCUGGUGAUCGGACUCCGAAGUUGGGUUUUGUGGGUUUAGGUUUUACGGUUCAAUUUUGCCGUUUCAUGGGUGGGGGUUAGUGGAGUUUCUGAUUGUUGUUUCUUCCAGGUUCUUUUUGGAAGAUUUAGGGUUCGAUAAUUCAUGUUGGGAUCUCGCCUUGGUCAAUGGUGUUUUAUGAAAGCCCUUCAGUUUGAUCUGAUUGCCGAUCAUGACAAUUGGGAUUCUGGGUGUCGCUGGUUCGUUCGGAAGGAUUAGUCAUUAUUUUCUUAUGGCGGUUGGUCACUUAUAUUGUCACGACGGUAUAAUUUUUCCUGUUUUAUUGUUGGCUUCAUAUCUUCUUGCUUUCUCGAGUUACAGAGGGCUGGAUGCCCGAAUGAUAUGGAUCUACUUGCUUACGAUUGUUAUCGUAUUAGGGCAUUAAUGCAGACCCUACUGUGGCUAAUGCAAUAUUGAUGUAAAUCGUGUGGGUUUCAUACUCCCUGCGGUGGAAUUUUUAUUUUGGGUACUUUCUGUAGUGUGAUUUACACAUGCAGAUGUAAAUACUUCCUCUACGUGUCUCGAGCAUACUGGGGAUUGUUAAAUAAUAUUUUUCAGUGAGGAAGCCAUAUUUCUAUAAGAUGUUUGAUGAACUCUAAUUGGCCCGAGGAAGCAAAAUUUCUAUAAGAUGUUUGAUGAACUCUAAUUGGCCCGAGGAAGCAAUAUUUCCAUAAGAUGUUUGAUGAACACUAAUUGGCCCGAGGAAGGAAGAUUUCUAUAAGAUGUUUGAUGAACUCUAAUUGGCCCGAGGAAGCAAUACUUCCAUAAGAUGUUUGAUGAACUCUAAUUGGCCCGAGGAAGCAAUAUUUCUAUAAGAUGUUUGAUGAACUCUAAUUGGCCCGUGAUUGUGUGUAGUCUUCCAGACUUGUUCUACUUGAUCCAGUAUUUUUCCAAAAUUGUAGUUUCUUUUGAAGAUUUUGUUUUCUACCUUCUAUUUUGCUAUGUUUGUUGGAGUUUUCAUUGCCCUUUACAAUUUGAUGAAGUCCAUUGGGACUGUCAUACUGUAGUCUUCCGGUCUGAUAAUUUUUCCUAAAUAUGUAUGUUAUAUAUAUAUAUAUAUAUAAUUGUUUUUGGACUUUCUAUUUUCUACUCUCUAUUUUGCUAGAUAUGAUGGGUUUUUGAUAACCUUUUCACGUUUUUGGGAACCUUAAUGGGGCUGAAAUUGUGUGGUCGAGCCUUUUCUAUGUGAUUCAUUUAUCUUCUUUUUUUUUUCCCUUCUUCUUCUUCUUUUCUAAAUUUCUGUUUUUUUUUUUUGACAAUUUAAUGAAGUUUAAUAGGGCUGUAGUCUUGUGGUCUUCCAGCCUUUUAUUCAUAUGAUCCAAUAAUUUUUUUUCCGAAAUUUCUUGGGGUGUCCACGGUCAAUUUCGGUUGGUUUUUUGAUAUAAAUUUAGUCAACAGUGCAGUCGGUUAUUUGCGGUUUGGUGGUUUUUCGAUUGGUCCUCACAAGAUACAUUUGACAAUAACCGACCAAACGGUUUGGCGGUCGGUUCAGUUUGGCACGGUUUUUUUUGGACAACCCUAGAAAUUUCUAUAUAUAUUUUUUACGUGCAUGUUUUCCACCUUAUUUUUUGCUACGUAUGAUGGAGUUUUGAUUCCCUUCAUGUAUUCUAUAUGGUCCUUUGAGAGGGAGUUAUACUUAUCCUUCAGUUGUAAUAAGAUUACUUUGGUUAUAGUUGGACGGUGUUCAGUAUAUGCAACUUUGUUUCAGAAGGGUUGCUGUGAGGGUUAUUGGUUUGGUUGUCUUCUUGGAAGUGGCAUGGGAUACCAUUAUCUGAGAGGGAGUCUCUACUGACCCCCUUCUUUAUUUUUACCCUACUGCUUGAAUGCUUACUUAUGCUUUUUUUGACAAUGAAGCUUUUGAGAAAUCUUACUUUGCUUUUGAUAUACUUUCUGAGAUGUGUAUGGUUUAGCCCAUGUACGCAGCUGUUCUAUAGCUGAAGAGAAAAAGGUUGGCAGCACUAAUAUUUCACGGGGGAAAUGAUAUACAUACGGAAAGGUUGGUAGAUAUUCUUCUUGAUUUAAUGGAUGUUUUCUUCAACUUACUGAUCGCUAAUGUAUAUAGCUAUGUUGUAGCAACUUUUUUGCUUAGUAUAUUAUAUGACUUGUUAAACUAUUGAGUCUUGAUAUGGUUUAUGAGUCAUCUUGGAUCGAUUGUUGGCCGUUGCCUUUUUUGUAUGAAAUUAUGGAGAUAGUGCUGUGCCUGAGUUUUAAUAUGGGAAAUUCCUGCUGUCACCUUUGAUUCAGCAAAUGGACAGAACUGUGAUUUAAAUUUGAAUCCUGAAAUCAAUGUCAGUUUUUUGACAUAAAUUUAGCUGACCGUUUGGUUGGUUAUUGGCGGUUUGGUCGGUUUUUUCGGUCGAUCCUCAGUAACUUACAUUUGACAAUAACCAACCAAAUGGUCAGUUUGGCGGUCGGUUCGGUUUGACAUGAUUUUUUGCACAGCCCUAGAAAUUUCUAUAUAUAUAUAUAUAUAUAUAUUUGAUGUUUACGUUUUCCACCUUAUAUUUUUCAACGUAUGAUGGAGUUUUGAUUCCCUUUAUAGUUUCUAUAUGGUCCUUUGAGAGGGAGUUAUACUUGUCCUUCAGUUGUUAUAAAUAAUAUUUAUAUAGUCAGAGUUCCUAUUAAGGUUACUUUGGUUAUAGUUGGAAGUUACGGUGUUGAGAAACUUUUGAAUCAUUAGUUCCGCUGAAAGAUUCUAUCCUUGUCUAAUCUAAAUGGCAAGGUGGCUUUUGGGAGAUUGUUCUCGGAAGUAGCAUGGAUUGCCUCUUUUCAGAGACAGUAGAUGCUAGCAAAAGUUGAAUAUAAUAUAACUACAACUCAAUCGUCAAAAAAUGCAGAGCUUGGGAAGGGUUUUGUGUGAUUACUUGUGAUAAAAAAAUUGAUGCUAACCGAAUAUCAAAAUGCAUUCAUACGAAGGUUGAAUUAGAUGGGAGAACACUCAUUCCUCAAGGGGAAUGAAAAGAUUACAAUUCUAUGGGGUAGCAAUUCGGUCAGAUACAAGGGCAAACGAUGUAUUCUGGAGAAGCAUGUGAUGGUGAAGAGUGCAAGGGUGACACUAAGUCAUUUCUGGAUAUUUUGAUUCUGCGCUAGAUCUUGCAACCACGCUUCUGUUCUUGCAGGUCCAAGAUACAAUUUUUUACCAAACAAACAUCAAAUUAUAUUCUGGGAGUCUUUGUCUGAUUGAGAACCCACCAAUCAACAUCCAUUACCACUAUACUUGAUGAUGUUCAUGGUCAAAUUAUAGCGAACCAUGCCAUGGGGCACAUUUGAGAUUUCGUGGGAUACUUAUGAUUUCAUCAUGGAGUGUGCAUAUAUAUAUAUAUGUCUCCUACCUUUUAUUUUCUAGGUAUGAUGAUUUCUGAUUGCCGUUUACAAUUUAAUGAACUUUAAUGUGGCUGUGAUUGUGUUGCAUUCCAACCUUUUUCUAUAUGAUUCUUUGAGAGGGAGUUACACUUAUCCUUCAGUUAUAUAUAAUAUUUAUUGAGCCUAAGUCCUUAUUAAUUAUUAUGGUUACUUUGGUUAUAGUUGGAAGUUACGGUGUUGUGAAACUUUUGAAUCAUUAGUUUCCCUAAAAGAUGAUAUCCUUAUCUAUUCUAAAUGGCUAGGUGGCUUUUGGGUGAUUGUUCUUGGAAGUAGCAUGGAUUGCAUCCUUUGAGAGAGAGUUAUAAUUAUCCUUCUGUUGUUAUAAAUAAUAUUUAUGUAGCCAGAGUACUUAUUAUGAUUACUUUGGUUGGAAGUUAUGGUGUUGAGAAAAUUUUGAAUCAUUACUUCCCAUAGAAGAUUCUAUCUUCAUAUACUCUUGCAAGCUGGCAGGCAUUCUAUUCUCUUUAACUUGUUCUAUUGUGAGUACUUGAGAUUCAAGUUAGUGUUUCUCCAACUUUACUUGAAUAUGAGCAACUCUUGUAAUUUCUGGUAAUUUGAUAUCUGAUAUGUUUUCCUUGCCCUGAAACAUGCCUGGGUUGAAGCUUGGUUUGAUUAUAUUUUGAAUUAGAUUCCUUGAUAGAUGGCAUGUUUUCUGUCAAUGAAAAAGAAGUUGCAUAUUUUAUAAGGUAUGCUAUGGGUUGGAUCAUAUUGCUCUGGUGGUAAGUCUCAAUAUGUUUUGUAGCUUAUUCAAGAUGGGUAUAGAUGUGUUUAAUUUUAUUCGGUAGACAACAUGUGAUGUGCUGCAAGAUGUCGAAGAUUUUUUUUUCUUCCCCUCACAAUUAUUAAUGGUCUCAUCAAUUUGGAAGUUAUUGCCAGCGCGUUUUCUGUCACCUAAUAGAUUUGGUAGCUUUGAGCUGAAGAAUCACUUGGAUUUUCGUAGAUAUUAUUAAGUGGUGUCCUGGUGCCAUCUUCCUUGCCUUGUCCAAAGGCCAUUUUUUUUGAGUGUGAAAAGGCAAUUGUAUGUAUCAUGAAGUUGGUUCCUCGAAAUUGAAUGGAUUUUGCAUUAAUAUGCAGAUGGACCUCCUUGUUUUGUUCGCUCCUUGAUUUUGUUGUAACUACGUGGCAUUUGCAGUUAUUAUUGUGGGGGAAUCUGUUGCUCGUCAGUUUGCUUUUGGACAAAAUAUUCACUUUUAUUAAUUUUCCCAUCAUUAUUUGUAGAGGUGUCUCCAGUUCCUUAUAAUUAAUCUUCCCAUCAUUCCGGGGAUGCGUUUGGCAGAUAAACUGUUUAGAAAUAUUUGGAUCAUUGGUUGCCAGUAAUAAUUUAGUCGUCAACUUCCCUCGGUGAAUUGUAUUUUUUGUCCUUAUUCUCUCAUGACCUUACCUUGUAUGUUGUUGUUUAUAUUGGAAGUACUCUGGCAUUUUCAUGCUUAUAGUUCUUGUAGCCAUGUUAUUUCCUUGGUUGAGCGGAGCAAAAACUAGCGAUGGUGCAAUGCUUCUCAGAUUGUGUUAUUUUAUAUAAAACUUCUGUUUCUGAUAGCAAUUAACAGUAACUUACUUCACAGGGUGGAAUUUAGUUUGAUACAUCUCUUUAGUAGCAAUGUCCUCUUAAGGGUAGUGAGCUGGCUAACAGUAAGGUGAUUUGGUUUCUCCAGUUUAUGUGGUGCCUUUUCAAUUAUGAUUUUUUGAAUCUUGUUGUUGACAACUAGCUUGCUAUAUGAGUUUUGUUAAUGUUAGCUGUUUUAUUGCCUUAAAUUUUGGCAAUAUGUUGUUGCAGCACUAUGACAUGGCAUAAGAUUUCCAGAGUAGUUAUAUUUUCAUCAAUGGUCUCAUCAAUGAUGAAGUUAUCGUCUGAAUUAUAAGAUAUUGACAAUGCUAUUUGAUGGUUUUAUGUAGCUUCAUGUGUUGUUUUUUAUUUCACAAUUGUAGUGUCGUAUGGAUUCUCAUUUAAUGUUUUUAUGGGGUCCUUGUGUUUCAGCUUUGGUCAAGUGCUAAACCAAGUCGUGGUGUUUACCUUUGGCAGUAAAGUUGAUCUCGAAAUUUGUGGCUUUGUUGUUUUAACAUGAAAGAUUCAAUCAUCCUCUCUAGAAGUUUGAUGUUCUCUAGUUUUGUUCUUUUAUGACCUUGCUUGAGAUUCAAUUGUAGUUUUUUUGUGGAAUGCUCGAAAUUCUCAUGACUUUGAGAAGGGUUGAUGUGAGGUGACUAGUUUCGUUGUCUUCUUGAAAGUGGCAUGGGAUAGAAUUAUCUGAGAGGGAGUCUGUACUUACCCUCUUCUUUUACCCUACUGCUUGGAUGCUUACUUGUGCUUUAAGAAAACUAUCUUUCUUUCUUUUUUUUUUAUUACACUAGUUUCCGAAACAAAGCGUUCAUGAUGUGAUGACCGCAAAUGUAUUCCGACUCGCUGAGAGUGAAACAACCGAUCUUUCUAUAUAUUUUCUAUAGAAGAACCUUGAGCUUUGAAGCAAGUGGUCUAUGUGCAUGUGUAAGCAAUGCGGUGUAUUUCUAUGUUGAUUCACAUAUGCUACUCGUUGCAUUUGUUCCGCGGACAUUGUUAGGUUCAGCUGCAUGGUGUUCGUUAUGAUCGUGUGAGAGGAGUUUAGAACAUCCUGAAGUCCCAACUAAGUGUGCUGAUGUGGUGGCGUGUUUGUUAUCCGAUAUUACUCCUGUUAGUUUCUUUUCAGUACAUCAAGUAGUGGCGGGUCUUCUCAUCACUCACUUAAAGUUCCUCACUGUGACAGCAGAAUGUGGUUGUGAAUAAGCUUAAGAAAUAUGAUUCACUUCAAUCAAGAAUUAUUUAUACAUCCUUUUACUUUUGUUUCAGGGCCCAAGGUCUCUCUGCAAUUACUUCCUUUUAUAUACUUAAUCGUCUUCUCCAGGUUCGUUGGUUGUACAAGCUUGAUUAAUGCUGUUACUGGUGGUAUAUUAUAUCUCUUUAUGAAGUUUAGCUUGGGAAAUGCUACUGAAGAGGGAAAGGUUGGCAGCACUAAUAUUUCUAAUUCUCUUCCCAACUGUUUCAAUAAUUUAAUGGAAUCGAUACUUAAUUGUUGUGACCCUAUACUGGAGCAGGUUGCUAACAUUCCUGGGACGCCUUUGGCAGAUAAACUGUUUAGAAAUAUUUGGAUCAUUUGUUGCCAGUAAUAAUUUAGUCGUCAACUUCCCUCGGUGAAUUCUAUUUUUUGUCCUUAUUCUCUCGUGACCUUACCUUGUAUGUUGUUGUUGUUGUUUAUAUUGGAAGUACCCUGGCAUUUUCAUGCUUAUAGUUCUUGUAGCAAUGUUAUUUCCUUGGUUGAGUGGAGCAAAAGCUAGCGACGGUGCAAUGCUUCUCAGAUUGUGUUAUUUUAUUAUUAUACAAAACUUCUGUUUCUGAAAGCAAUUAACAGUAACUUACUUCACAGGGUGGAAUUUAGUUCGAUACAUCUCUUUAGUAGCAAGUAGCAACGUCCUCUUAAGGGUAGUGAGCUGGCUAACAGUAAGGUGAUUUGGUUUCUCAAGUUUAUGUGGUACCUUUUCAAUUAUGAUUUUUUGAAUCCUGUUAUUGACAACUAGCUUGCUAUAUGAGUUUUGUUAAUGUCAGCUGUUUCAUGGCCUUAAAUUUUUUGUGGAAUGCUCGAAAUUCCUAUGGCUUCAGUAUAUGCAACCUUGUUUUAGAAGGGUUGAUGUGAGGUGACUGGUUUUGUUGUCUUCUUGAAAGUGGAGUGGGAUAGAAUUAUCUGAGAGGGAGUCUCUACUUACCCUCUUCUUUUUGUUUAACCUACUGCUUGGUUGCUUACUUGUGCUUUAAGCGGAUUGUCUUUUUUUUUUUUUAUUACACUAGUUUCCGACACAAAGCGUUCCUGAUGUGAUGACCGCAAAUGUAUCCGGAUUUGCUGUGAGUGAAACAUCCUAUCUUUCUUUAUAUUUUCUAUAGAAGAACGUUGAGCUUUGAAGCAAGUGGUCUAUGUGCAUGUGUAAGCAAUGCGGUGCAUUUCUAUGUUGAUUCACAUAUGCUACUCGUUGCAUUUGUUCAGUGGACAUUGUUAGGCUCAGCUGCAUGGUGUUCGUUAUGAUCGUAGGAGAGGAGUUUAGAACAUCCUGAACCCAACUAAUUGUGCUGAUGUUGUGACGUGUUUGUUAUGCGACAUUACCGGUUAGUUUUUUCUUUUCAGUACAUGAACUAGUGGCGGCUCUUCUCAUCACUCACUUAAAGUUCCUCUCUGUGACUGCAGAAUGUGGUGGUGAAUAAGCUUAUGAAAUAUGAUUCACUUCAAUCAAGAAUUAUUUAUACAACCUUUUGUUUUUGUUUCAGGGCCCAAGGUCUAUCUGUAAUUACUUCUGUUUAUAUACUUAAUCGACUUCUUCAAAUCGUUGGUUAUAAAAGCUUGACUAAUGCUGUUACUGGUGGUAUAUUAUAUCUCUUUAUGAAAUUAAGCUUGGGAGAUGCUGCUUAAGGGGAAAAGGUUGGCAACACUAAUAUUUCUAAUUCUCUUCCCAACCGUUUCAAUGGUUUAAAGGAAUUGGGCCCAAGGUCUGUCUGCAAUUACUUCCUUUUAUAUACUUAAUCGUCUUCUUCAGGUUCGUUGGUUGUAAAAGCUUGACUAAUGCUGUUACUGGUGGUAUAUUAUAUCUCGGUAUGAAAUUAAGCUUGGGAAAUGCUACUGAAGAGGAAAAGGUUUGGCAGCACUAAUAUUUCUAAUUCUCUUCCCAACUGUUUCAAUGAUUUAAUGGAAUUGAUACUUAAUUGUUCUUAGUUUGAAGAGACAGAAUAACUUGAUGCAGACCAUCUGUUUAUCAUCAACUUACCAAAAAAAGGUAUUCAUCAUCAAAUUCUCAUUCUAAAAGCUACCACAAGGAAAAUGAUAUACAUACGGAAAGGUUGGUAGAUAUUCUUCUUGAUCUAAUAGAUGUUGUCUUUAACUUACUGACUGCUUAUGUAUAUAGCUAUGUUGUAGAGACUUUUUUGCUUAUUAUAUUAUAUUACUUGUUAAACUAUUGAGUCUUGAUAUGGUUUAUGAGUCAUCUUGGGUCAAUUUUCUGCCGUUGCCUUUUCUGCCACCUUUGACAUCUAUGAUGUCGGUGUCUUGUUUAGUUGAGUUGCUGUAAUAUCUAUACAUGCUAUUAUACUUUAUUUACCUACAUUCUGUGGAGUGUGGUGAGACGACUUUAGCACGGGAAUAAGGUGAGAAGCACUGAAUGGGCAGGUCUGUUUAAAUUUGGUGCUUUUCGUGAAAUACACUAUCUUGAGGAAACUACUAUUUCCUGGAGCCUUCAUUGUACAUUUGGUGUGGAAUUUCAAAAUUGAAAAAUAAUGAAUGAACCCUGAGAGUGAAAUUUAGAAUGAGGAAUAAGUGAAAAGCACUCUAUGGGCAGGUCUGUUUAUGUUUUGUGCUUUCAUGAAAUAUGCUAACUUGAGGAAAUAACAUCUAUUUUCUGAAGCCUUUGCUGUGCACUUGGCUUGAAAUGUCAAAAUUCACAAAGAUUUAGUGAACGGUGUGAGAAGCUUUGGCAUGGGGAAAAAGUGAGAAGUAGGGUAGGUCCGUUUAAAUUUUGUGCUUUUCAGAAACACACUAAAAUUAGGAAACAUCUAUUUUAUGGAGCCUUUUGAUGUACUGGAAUUUCAAAACUGAAAAAUAAUGAAUGAACGGCAAGACAGGGCCUUGGCAUGUGGAAAAAGUGAGAAGCACUCAAUGGGUGGGUCCAUUUAAAUUUUGUGUUUUUCAUGAGGAAACUACUAUUUUCUGGAGUCUUUGUUGUAGACUUGGCUUGAAAUUCAAAUCUCAAAAAAAAUGAAUGAACUGUGAGAUUAUUUUGGCAUGGGGCAAACAUGAGAAGCAUUUAAAGGGCAGGUCUGUUUGUAUUUUGUGCUUUUCAUGAAAUAUGCGAACCUGAGGAAAUACCAUCUAUUUCUUGGAGCCUUUGUUGUACACUUGGCUUGGAAUUUGAAAACUGAAAAAGAUUGAAGGAAUGGUGGGCAUGGAUAAAAAGUGAGAGGCACUCAGUGGGUAGGUCCGUUUAAGUUUUGUACUUUUCAUGAAACACACUAACCUCGGGAAAUAGCAUCUAUUUUUUGGAGCCUUUGUUGUACAAUUGGCCGGUAAUUUCAAAACUGAAAACAAUUAGAGAGGACUUUAGCAUGAGGUAAAAGUGAGGAGCACUCAAUGGGCAAAUGAUGAAUCAUUAGUAUUCUGGAGAAGCAUGUGAUGGUGAAGAGUGCAAGGGUGAUACUAAGUCAUUUCUGGAUAUUUUGAUUCUGCGCUAGACCUUGCAACCACGCUUCUGUUCUUGCUGGUCAAAGAUACAAUUUUUUACCAAACAAACAUCAAAUUAUAUUCUGGGAGUCUUUGUCUGAUUGAGAACCCACCAAUCAACAUCCAUUAAAACACUGUACUUAACAAUGUUCAUGGUCAGAUUAUUGCGAACCAUGCCAUGGGGCACAUUUGAGAUUUCGUGGGAUACUUAUAAUUUCAUCGUGGAGUGUGCAUAUAUAUAUAUAUAUGUUUCCUACCUUUUAUUUUCUAGGUAUGAUGAUUUCUGAUUGCCAUUUACAAUUUAAUGAACUCUAAUGUGGCUGUGAUUGUGUUGCAUUCAAACCUUUUUCUAUAUGGUUCUUUGAGAGGGAGUUACACUUAUCCUUCAGUUAUAUAUAAUAUUUAUAGAGCCCAAGUCCUUAUUAUGGUUACUUUGGUUAUGGUUGGAAGUUACGGUGUUGUGAAACUUUUGAAUCAUUAGUUUCCCUAAAAGAUGAUAUCCUCAUCUAUUCUAAAUGGCUAGGUGGCUUUUGGGUGAUUGUUCUUGGAAGUAGCAUGGAUUGCAUCCUUUGAGAGAGAGUUAUAAUUAUCCUUCUGUUGUUAUAAAUAAUAUUUAUGUAGCCAGAGUACUUAUUAUGAUUACUUUGGUUGGAAGUUAUGGUGUUGAGAAAAUUUUGAAUCAUUACUUCCCAUAGAAGAUUCUAUCUUCAUAUACUCUUGCAAGCUGGCAGGCAUUCUAUUCUCUUCAACUUGUUCUAUUGUGAGUACUUGAGAUUCAAGUUAGUGUUUCUCCAACUUUACUUGAAUAUGAGCAACUCUUGUAAUUUCUGGUAAUUUGAUAUCUGAUAUGUUUUCCUUGCCCUGAAACAUGCCUGGGUUGAAGCUUGGUUUGAUUAUAUUUUGAAUUAGAUUCCUUGAUAGAUGGCAUGCUUUCUGUCAAUGAAAAAGAAGUUGCAUAUUUUAUAAGGUAUGCUAUGGGUUGGAUCAUAUUGCUUUGGUGGUAAGUCUCAAUAUGUUUUUGUAGCUUAUUCAAGAUGGGUAUAGAUGUGUUUCAUUUUAUUCGGUAGACAGCAUGUGAUGUGCUGCAAGAUGUCGAAGAUUUUUUUUUCUUCCCCUCACAAUUAUAAAUGGUCUCAUCAAUUUGGAAGUUAUUGCCUGUGCGUUUUCUGUCACCUAAUAGAUUUGGUAGCUUUGAGCUGAAGAAUCACUUGCAUUUUCAUAGAUAUUAUUAAGUGGUGUCCUGUGCCAUCUUCCUUGCCUUGUCCGAAGGCCUUUUUUUUAGUGUGAAAAGGCAAUUGUACGUAUCAUGAAGUUGGUUCCACAAAGUUGAAUGGAUUUUGCAUUAAUAUGCAGAUGGAACUCCUUGUUUUGUUCGCUCCUUGAUUUUGUUGUAACUACGUGGCAUUUGCAGUUAUUAUUGUGGGGGAAUCUGUUGCUCGUUGGUUUGCUUUUGGACAAAAUAUUCACUUUUAUUAAUCUUCCCAUCAUUAUUUGUAGAGGUGUCUCCAGUUCCUUAUAAUUAAUCUUCCCAUCAUGGCAUCAUUCCGGGGAUGCGUUUGACAGAUAAACUGUAUAGAAAUAUUUGGAUCAUUGGUUGCCAGUAAUAAUUUAGUCGUCAACUUCCCUCGGUGAAUUCUAUUUUUUGUCCUUUUUCUCUCGUGACCUUACCUUGUAUGUUGUUGUUUAUAUUGGAAGUACCCUGGCAUUUUCAUGCUUAUAGUUCUUGUAGCUAUGUUAUUUCCUUGGUUGAGCGGAGCCAAAACUAGUGAUGGUGCAAUUCUUCUCAGAUUGUGUUAUUUUAUACAAAACUUCUGUUUCUGAUAGCAAUUAACAGUAACUUACUUCACAGGGUGGAAUUUAGUUUGAUACAUCUCUUUAUUAGCAAUGUCCUCUUAAGGGUAGUGAGCUGGCUAACAGUAAGGUGAUUUGGUUACUCAAGUUUAUGUGGUACCUUUUCAAUUAUGAAUUUUUGAUCUUCUUGUUGACAACGAGCUUGCUAUAGGAGUCUUGUUAAUGUUAGCUGUUUUAUUGCCUUAAAUUUUGGCAAUAUGUUGUUGCAGCACUAUGACAUGGCAUAAGAUUUUCAGAGUAGUUAUAUUUUCAUCAAUGAUGAAGUUAUCGUCUGAAUUAUAAGAUAUUGGCAAUUCUAUUUGAUGGUUUUAUGUAGCUUCAUGUGUUGUUUUUUUAUUUCACAAUUGUAGUGUUGUAUGGAUUCUCGUUUCAUGUUUUUAUGGGGUCCUUGUGUUUCAGCUUUGGUCAAGUGCUAAACCAAGUCGUGGUGUUUGCCUUUGGCAGUAAAGUUGAUCUUGAAAUUUGUGGCUUUAUUGUUUUAACAUGAAAGAUUCAAUCAUCCUCUCUAGAAGUUUGAUGUUCUCUAGUUUUGUUCUUUUAUGACCUUGCUUGAGAUUCAAUUGUAGUUUUUUUGUGGAAUGCUCGAAGUUUAAGGGUUGAUGUGAGGUGACUGGUUUCGUUGUCUUCUUGAAAGUGGAGUGGGAUAGAAUUAUCUGAGAGGGAGUCUCUACUUACCCUCUUCUUUAUUUUUACCCUACUGCUUGGUUGCUUACUUGUGCUUUAAGCGGAUUGUCUUUUUUUUUUAUUACACUAGUUUCCGAAACAAAGUGUUCCUGAUGUGAUGACCGCAAAUGUAUCCCGACUCGCUGUGACUGAAACAUCCGAUCUUUCUAUAUAUUUUCUAUAGAAGAACCUUGAGCUUUGAAGCAAGUGGUCUAUGUGCAUGUGUAAGCAAUACGGGUGUAUUUCUAUGUUGAUUCACAUAUGCUACUCGUUGCAUUUGUUCAGCGGACAUUGUUAGGUUCAGCUGCAUGGUGUUCGUUAUGAUCGUAUAAGAGGAGUUUGGAACAUCCUGAAGUCCCAACUAAGUGUGCUGAUGUGGUGACGUGUUUGUUAUCCGAUAUUACUCCUGUUAGUUUCUUUUCAGUACAUCAAGUAGUGGCGGGUCUUCUCAUCGCUCACUUGAAGUUCCUCUCUGUGACUGCAGAAUAUGGUUGUGAAUAUGGUUCUUUUCAGUACAUCCUUUUAAUUUUGUUUCAGGACCCAAGGUCUCUCUGCAAUUACUUCCUUUUAUAUAGUUAAUCGUCGUCUUCAGGUUCGUUGGUUGUAAAAGCUGGACUAAUGCUGUAACUGGUGGUAUAUUUAUAUCUCUUUAUGAAAUUAAGCUUGGGACAUGCUACUGAAGAGGAAAAGGUUGGCAGCACUACUAUUUCUAAUUCUCUUCCCAACUGUUUCAAUGAUUUAAUGGAAUCUAUACUUAAUUGUUGUGACCGUAUACUGGAGCAGGUUGCUAACAUUCCUGGGUCGCGUUUGGCAGAUAAACUGUUUAGAAAUAUUUGGAUCAUUUGUUGCCAGUAAUAAUUUAGUCAUCAACUUCCCUCGGUGAAUUCUAUUUUUUGUCGUUAUUCUCUCGUGACCUUACCUUGUAUGUUGUUGUUUAUAUUGGAAGUACCCUGGCUCAUGCUUAUAGUUCUUGUAGCAAUGUUUUUUCCUUGGUUGAGCGGAGCAAAAACUAGUGAUGGUGCAAUGCUUCUCGGAUUGUGUUAUUUUAUACAACACUUCUGUUUCUGAUAGCAAUUAACAGUAACUUACUUCACAGGGUGGAAUUUAGUUCGAUACAUCUCUUUAGUAGCAAGUAGCAACAUCCUCUUAAGGGUAGUGAGCCGGCUAACAGUAAGGUGAUUUGGUUUCUCAAGUUUAUGUGGUACCUUUUCAAUUAUGAUUUUUUGAAUCCUGUUAUUGACAACUGGCUUGCUAUAUGAGUUUUGUUAAUGUCAGCUGUUUCAUUGCCUUAAAUUUUUUGUGGAAUGCUCGAAAUUCCCAUGGCUUCAGUAUAUGCAACUUUGUUUGAGAAGGGUUGAUGUGAGGUGACUGGUUUCGUUGUCUUCUUGAAAGUGGAGUGGGAUAGAAUUAUCUGAGAGGGAGUCUCUACUUACCCUCUUGUUUACUUUUACCCCACUGCUCGGUUGCUUACUUGUGCUUUAAGCGGAUUGUCUUUUUUUUUUUAUUACACUAGUUUCCGAAACAAAGCGUUCCUGAUGUGAUGACCGCAAAUGUAUCCCGAUUCGCUGUGAGUGAAACAUCCGAUCUUUCUGUAUAUUUUCUAUAGAAGAACGUUGAGCUUUGAAGCAAGUGGUCUAUGUGCAUGUGUAAGCAAUGCAGUGUAUUUCUAUGUUGAUUCACAUAUGCUACUCGUUGCAUUUGCUCAAGGGACAUUGUUAGGUUCAGCUGCAUGGUGUUCGUUAUGAUCGUAUGAGAGGAGUUUAGAACAUCCUGAACCCAACUAAGUGUGCUGAUGUUGUGACGUGUUUGUUAUGUGAUAUUACCCCUUAGUUUUUUCUUUUCAGUACAUCAACUAGUGGCGGCUCUUCUCAUCACUCACUUAAAGUUCCUCUCUGUGACUGCAGAAUGUGGUUGUGAAUAAGUUUAUGAAAUAUGAUUCACUUCAAUCAAGAAGUAUUUAUACAACCUUUUGUUUUUGUUUCAGGGCCCAAGGUCUAUCUGUAAUUCCUUCCGUUUAUAUUAAUCAACUUCUUCAAAUCGUUGGUUAUAAAAGCUUGACUAAUGCUGUUACCGGUGGUAUAUUAUAUCUCUUUAUGAAAUUAAGCUGGGGAGAUGCUGUUUAAGGGGAAAAGGUUGGCAACACUAAUAUUUCUAAUUCUCUUCCCAACCGUUUCAAUGGUUUAAAGGAAUUGGGCCCAAGGUCUGUCUGCAAUUACUUCCUUUUAUAUACUUAAUCGUCUUCUUCAGGUUCGUUGGUUGUAAAAGCUUGACUAAUGCUGUUACUGGUGGUAUAUUAUAUCUCGGUAUGAAAUUAAGCUUGGGAAAUGCUACUGAAGAGGAAAAGGUUUGGCAGCACUAAUAUUUCUAAUUCUCUUCCCAACUGUUUCAAUGAUUUAAUGGAAUUGAUACUUAAUUGUUCUUAGUUUGAAGAGACAGAAUAACUUGAUGCAGACCAUCUGUUUAUCAUCAACUUACCAAAAAAAGGUAUUCCUCAUCAAAUUCUCAUUCUAAAAGCUACCACCAGGAAAACGAUAUACAUAUGGAAAGGAGAAGAAUAUUUGCAUUUUUAUCCUCUGACAACCAUUGCCUGCUGCUAGCAUCUCUUUUGUUGCUGCUUAUUUUAGCAAAAAGUAAAGACCUUGAUUAUAAACUUGCUUCUUUGAUUGGAUUUGUUGGGUUGCAGCAUAAGAUGGUAUGUAUAAACUUCCACUUGCUUUGCCAAAAAAAGAAAGGAAUGUCUAACUGAAAAUGCCAAAAAAAGUUCCACAUAAGAUGGUUCCUUUUCAAUUUCCGUUUCAGUAUGUAUCGAUCUUAACAUUUUUGCUGGCCUUAAAUCCUGUAUUGAAUGUUUUAGCUAGUCAUCCACCAACCCCUGUAUUAGUGAUGGUUCUUGCAGAAGCUUGUGAAUUUUUAUGGAGUGAGGCUCAGAUCAAAACCUUCAUCUUUUAAUGAAAGAUUUUGUCUGAUUUUUUUCUACAUAUUAGAGGGACAUGUCCAUUAGGGUGAAAGGGAUGUUGAUAUUCUCUUGUGGCUCAUUUGAUUAGUUAAAUCAUGCGAAGUGAAACUCUAAUGCAAAUGGGUAUAGUUGUGUUUAAUUUUAUUCGGUAGACAGCAUUAGGGGUGUGAAUCGGUCGGUUUGGUUGGUUAUUUUACAUUGAGACACCCGGGCCGAAAUUUUGAUUUUCUUAGAUAUAAAAAACCGAUAACCAACGGUCACGCUUAUCUCGACAUGAAAACCGCCCAACGGUUUUCUGUUAUUAUGGUCGGUUUUUCGGUUAUUGGUCAAAUAUUUGGGCUUGAUACACUAACUUAGUAUACUAGCUAAAUAUGUGAAAAAUUAAAUAGUCAUUUGACCCUUGGCCAUAGGGCAUAUGUUGCACAUCCAAUAUCCAUAAUUCAAAGAA
Molecule: long non-coding RNA, 15718 nt
Organism: Tripterygium wilfordii
Lineage: Eukaryota; Viridiplantae; Streptophyta; Magnoliopsida; Celastrales; Celastraceae
Exons: 5
Source: RefSeq, a predicted model, not a curated record